Molecule: long non-coding RNA, 625 nt
Organism: Rosa rugosa (rugosa rose)
Lineage: Eukaryota; Viridiplantae; Streptophyta; Magnoliopsida; Rosales; Rosaceae
Exons: 2
Source: RefSeq, a predicted model, not a curated record
UCAGCUAGAAACGUGGUAACUAAACUAGGAAGAAUUCAAAGCUAUAACAACAUCCUAAAGACUAGGACACUUAUUAACAGAAUAACAAACUCUAAGCCAUAACAGAUUCCGAUUGCUGGUGCGAUUGGCGUGAAGCUCAAAAGCAGGAGCGACUCAAACGCAUUCCUUUACAGCUGAUCCGUCGUCGUCUACACUACACUAACCACGAAAUCACGUCUUUCUUCACUGGCAUGGCGAAAUCACUUACUCGAGAUUACUAAUUCCAGAGAUCAAAGCUUUGUUUCUUGCGAUUCCAAAUCCUGCUAUGAAUUCUUCCCCUUUGCAUUUGUAGUAGCAGUUUUCAAAAAUUAUGUGAAUUUGGAUAUUGAAGCCUCCAUUAACCAAGAGAUUAUUCGGCCAACCAAGAAAUGUUGAAAUGAAGUCUCCUGCUGAAGGCGACAAAAUCAUGCUUAUGGGUUUAGAGCGCCAUUGAAAAAUGACAGUAGCGUUACAACAUUGACAGUAGCUUUAUUCAAUUAUUGUAAUAAAUUUUCACAGAUAUGGUAGUGGCUUUUUAUAACUAUGGAAGUAGUUUUUUACAUAGCUAUGUUAUUGUUGAAUCCUACAUACUUUUUGUAUCAUUGAA